GCACCUCUGCGGUGUACGUGUGCGGCCGGGGUUUAUCCUUGAGCCUAAUGAACUACCCCGGGAGCCGAACUGCGAUGGUGUUGUGCAUGUCCGCCCUCGUGCGGAAAGCCUGGAUCCAUCGCGUAGGCACCCACUUGAACCGCUGGUUCAAGGUCGAAGGUCUGCCACGGCACAUGCGGAGCGUGU
This 186-nucleotide non-coding RNA is filed under the name Ectothiorhodospira mobilis. RNAcentral describes it as "6S RNA". It matches the Rfam family "6S / SsrS RNA". From Rfam's summary of the family: E. coli 6S RNA was the first non coding RNA to be sequenced, but its function was unknown until recently. It consists of 184 nucleotides that fold into an extended hairpin structure with a large single-stranded internal bulge. The 6S RNA specifically associates with RNA polymerase holoenzyme containing the sigma70 specificity factor. Lineage: Bacteria; Pseudomonadati; Pseudomonadota; Gammaproteobacteria; Chromatiales; Ectothiorhodospiraceae. The record is from RNAcentral.